Non-coding RNA from Benincasa hispida (wax gourd), 4095 nucleotides. The record is from RefSeq and is a predicted model, not a curated record. Lineage: Eukaryota; Viridiplantae; Streptophyta; Magnoliopsida; Cucurbitales; Cucurbitaceae.
GAAAUUGUAAAGAAAAGGCGUUGGACAAGAAAGUGGGCAGGAACUAUAAAUUGGCUCCCAUCUCCUUCCUGCGUAAAUUAGGGCUCUGCUCCUUUCACUUUCAUAUCUUCGUGGCGCCAUCUAUACCUUUAAAUUCCGGGUCUUAAGUCGAACUUGAGAAGUUAAACGAGAUAUAAUGCCUGAAGACUGGACCGUUGUUGGUCGUAUAUGAUGAUCCCUCUGACCAACAGUCCUUGUCUUUAGAUGAAACCGGCAGCACGGAGGAGUCACCUGCUGAAACCAGGCUGUCCCUGGAUUCAAAUAAUGAUGCAACUCCAUAUAUAGGGCAAAGGUUUCCUACUCAUAACUCUGCUUAUGAGUUUUAUAGUGAAUUUGCAAAGAGAUGUGGCUUCCCAAUCCGAAGACACCGAACAGAGGGAAAAGAUGGGAUUGGGAAAGGCCUUACAAGGCGCUAUUUUGUUUGCCAUCGUGCUGGGAACACACCUAAUAAGACACCAACUGAAAAUAAGCCUUAAAGGAAUAGAAAAUCCCUCGGUGUGGAUGUCAAGCAUAUAUGAGAAUAAGCAAAACAAUGGAACUAGGACCACCAGAGUGGCGUGUCAUUGGUUUUGCAAACCACCAUAAUCAUGAACUAUAGAACCAAACCAAGUCCGUUUCCUUCCAGCAUAUUGAACAAUUUCUGAGAUAGACAAGGGCCGAAUUCUUAUGUAUGCCAAAUCAGGAAUUUCUGUGCAGCAAAUGACGAGGUUCAUGAGCUAGAGAAAGGUGUGGAGCCAGGAUAUUUGCCAUUCACUGAGAAGGAUGUAAGAAAUCUACUUCAAACAUUUAGAAAAUUAGAUAAUGAAGAAGAGAGCAUUGACCUAUUGCGAAUGUGCAGAAACAUUAAGGAAAAAGAUCCGAAUUUCAAAUUCAAGUAUGUGAUCGCCAAACAACAGGUUAGAGAACAUUGCCUGGUCAUGUGCCUCAUCCAUUCAAGCUUAUGAGACAUUUGGUGAUGCAGUGGUCUUCGAUACCACACAUCGAUUGACUGCAUUUGACAUGCUACUCGGGAUAUGGGUUGGAAUUAAUAACCAUGGCAUGCCUUGCUUCUUAAGUUGUGUACUUCUUCGGGAGGAGAAUUUGAGAUCAUUUACAUGGGCUUUGGAGGUAAUUCAUGGGGUUCAUGAAUGGGAAGGCUCCACAGACAAUAUUAACCGACCAGAAUGUGUCUCAAAGAUGCCAUAGCGAUGGAACUGUCAACUACUAAGCAUGCACUUUGUAUUUGGAUGAUUGUGGCGAAGUUUCCAUCCUGGUGUAAUGCUAUUCUUGGAGAACGUUACAAUGAGUGGAAAAGUGGAUUCUGUCGAUUAUAUAAUCUGGAGUUAAUUGAGGAUUUUGAAAUAGGGUGGAGGGACAUGGUGAAUUCCUUUGGUCUGCAUACUAAUAGGCACGUAGCCAACUUGUACAGUCUGCGUUCUCUUUGGGCAUUGCCAUUCUUGAGAAACCAUUUCUUCGCUGGAAUGGCAACCAUUGGCCAAUCAAAAGCAAUCAAUGCUUUUAUUCAGCGAUUUUUGAGUGCACAGACUCGACUUGCUCAGUUUAUUGAACAGAGCAAGGGGACGAAACCCUAGCCGUCAUCGACGAGAAUCGACCACAACCUUCUUCAGCAGUCAUCGUGGGGAUCAGUGGGGCUGUGAAUGUCGAUAUCACAGCAACCGUCCAAGCAGCCGUCGAGCGUUACCUCCAAGCCACGUUGCCUCAUCUUAUUCCAACUGUCGUUCAUGUCCAGCAGUCGGUCGAAGGAAGCCAGCCGAGCCGUUUGCCUCAAAUCGGAGCGUCGAUCAGUGGUCAGAACCGUUCAAUCUUCGAAGCCCAGCCGAUUGGAGCCGCUCCUUAGCAGAUCGCGUCGAGCCCAGCCGAUGCGUCGUACCCAGAAGUCGUGGCUGGAUACCCUCGAUCGCGUCUUCCACCUGCGCAAACCCUAGUCGAUGGACAGUUUCAGAUGAUUCCGGUGCAGUCCCUUCAGUCGCAGCCUUCAGUCGGGAUUUUCUCUAGUUGAGCUGAGCCAAGCAACUUGUCGGUCAGAGGUUCCUCGUUUAGCCGCACCAACUCUGGCCCUUCUUUCCCUUUGGCUCCCUCCGCAGCGUUUGAUGCUCGGGGCUAGGCUCCCUCAACCGAUCUCUUCCAACCAGUGAUGGGACCGGGGUCUAAUGAACAGAAAAUUCCAGCUGCACCUUGUAGCAGCGGCACGACUUAAUGUCUUAGCGAGAUUCAACAUUGUUUGCUUAUCUCCAACAACAAGCAGCAGACUUCGGAACAAUCCUUGGCACAAAUCCACAACUAGAAUUCUACUCUGAGGAUCUGGUAACCUCUUUCUCUAUUUUACCCAAUACGAAUUAUUUGUUUGGUUUGAUGGUCAAUUCUACAGGGUUCAUCAUUGGAGAAAAGUUGAAUGACCAGGAUUAUUUUUCCUGGUCACAAUCAAUCAGAAUGACACUGGAAAGGAGACAUAAGUUUGGGUACUUGACGGGGGAGAUACUAAAACCCCAACUGAGUGAUCCACAAGAACGUAUUUGGAAAGGAGAAGACUCUUUGUUACGGUCAGUUCUUGUUAACAGUAUGGAAACCCAAAUUGACAGACCAUUACUGUAUGCUGCAACCGCCAAGGAUAUUUGGGAUACUGUGCAUAAGCUUUACUUAAAAAGGCAGAAUGCGUCUCAACUGUACACUACGCAAGCAGGUCCACGAAUGCAAAUAAGGGACCAUGGAUGUAACAUCCUAUUUUAAUAAACUAUCCCUGUUGUGGCGAGAAAUGGAUCUUUGACGAGAAAUAGUUUGGAAUUGUGCACAGUAUUUGAAGAUUGAAGAAGCUAAUCGGGUCUCUGACUUCUUAGCUGGGUUGAACUCUAAAUUCGAUGUCGUUCGAAGUCGAAUAUUGGGCCAACGACCUAUACUCUCUCUCAUGGAAGUGUGUUCAGAGAUACGGCUGGAAGAUGACAGAUCGAGUGCUAUGAACAACCCAGUUAGCACUUCAACUGAGGCUGCGACCUUUGCUACAAAAUCUUCCAGCUCUGACGGCGAUAAGAAACCCACCCCUGUCUGUGACAUUGCAAAAAGCCGUGACAUACAAAAAACCAGUGUUGGAAGCUACAUGGACGACCUUCGAACAGUAAACGUCGCCAGUCACAUGACAAAUCAAACCUUGGACAUGCCCUUGUGAGUGAUUCAACAAAUGAGAAUUCUCAGCAUCAAUCCCCAACAGAUAGUAAGACCAAUCUAAGUACAGUUGGGGUUAGUGCCAUCACAUAGUCAGGUACGAUUCAAUCUUUUGGCUUUAUUAGUAUUAAUGAUAAAAAACCUUGGAUUGUUGACUCAGGGGCUAUAUAUCAUCUUACUGGCUCAUCUGAUCAAUUUCUUUCAUACUGUUCGAGUGCUGGUAAUGAACGGAUUAGAAUCGCAGAUGGGUCAUUUGCCCCUGUUGCAGGGAAAGGAUAUGUGUCUCCGUUUGAGGGUUUGGAUUUGAGCUUGGGGACGACGAUUGACACUACCCGACACGAUAGGAGAAAACUGAACUGACCUAUAAAUGGUCAGUCGGCUUGCACUCCCAUCUCCAAUUACGAGUAAACAAGACAGAAUACCAGAUAGCUAUCUUCCCGUACGAUGGAGAAGGAUAAGCAUGCCCUGGGCAAAGCUCCUUCCAAGUACUGAAAUGAUCGAUCAUGCUGAAAGGAUUCAGGUGUUGCAGAGCAUGGUGACAAAUCUUGUUACUACUGAAUCUGCAAAGUCCAGAGAGAGGCUUGAUAUCACAACCGAGCAAGUGUCGCUCCUCUUAUCCAUCCCGCACGGCGCGAGGGAACAUCCCACAUCAUUGCCAGCCUCUAAAGGGAUGUUUCUACCCUACACAGCAACUUGUAACUUUUGUUGUAAACUAAAACUAGGAAACAGAGUGAGUUACGGGAAGAACAUUCUGCAUGGAGCGAGGCCGAGUGAUCAGUUUAAAGGCUAAUGAGGUUAGUUUCACCUGUCAUUAAUUUUACAGGAAUGGUGUUGUGCCAUAAAUAUUUACUUGCAAUUCUGUGAUAUUUAUAGUAAUUUGACCUUAGUAAAAACACUUUU